GUGAUUUAAAUUUUCAGUUUUCUUAUGUAAUUAACAUGGUAUUAAUCUAUUAUAGAUCCAUUUAAGUAUAGACUAUUCUAAGAUUAGUAUUGCAACUUGUUACUUGUGCAAAGUCAUUGUAACGCUCUCAACGCAUAAACAACUUUGACUACCCGUUAUAGUCCUAUACACACGGCCAAAGAAAUGAAUUUACUAAACUCCAAAAAAAAAAAAAAAUUGGGUAUUUAUUAUUAUUUGAUUACACGAAUCUGAUUUGACUUCACAACAUUAGUCAAACCUCUUCUUUCUCUCCAAAUCCACCAAUCACACUUACACACACUUCUUUGAUUAAUUAUAUUCUAUCUUUCCUUUUAUUAUUCCAUCAACUUAUUAUUAUUAUACCACUGGCCAUUUCUCUUUUAUUUCUCCCUCAAUUUUUGUUCCUUUC
This 427-nucleotide long non-coding RNA is filed under the name Capsella rubella. Its description in RNAcentral is "long non-coding RNA (CRUB_LNC004409)". Lineage: Eukaryota; Viridiplantae; Streptophyta; Magnoliopsida; Brassicales; Brassicaceae. The record is from RNAcentral.